RNAcentral lists this non-coding RNA (26 nucleotides) under Homo sapiens (human). Lineage: Eukaryota; Metazoa; Chordata; Mammalia; Primates; Hominidae. The record is from RNAcentral.
UGUGCAUGUCUUUCUUCACUGGUGGU